GACGAACGCUGGCGGCGUGCUUAACACGUGCAAGUCGAACGGAAAGGCCCUGCUUUUGUGGGGUGCUCGAGUGGCGAACGGGUGAGUAACACGUGAGUAACCUGCCCUUGACUUUGGGAUAACUUCAGGAAACUGGGGCUAAUACCGGAUAGGAGCUCCUGCUGCAUGGUGGGGGUUGGAAAGUUUCGGCGGUUGGGGAUGGACUCGCGGCUUAUCAGCUUGUUGGUGGGGUAGUGGCUUACCAAGGCUUUGACGGGUAGCCGGCCUGAGAGGGUGACCGGCCACAUUGGGACUGAGAUACGGCGCAGACUCCUACGGGAGGCAGCAGUGGGGAAUAUUGCACAAUGGGCGGAAGCCUGAUGCAGAAACGCCGCGUGCGGGAUGACGGCCUUCGGGUUGUAAACCGCUUUCGCCUGUGACGAAGCGUGAGUGACGGUAAUGGGUAAAGAAGCACCGGCUAACUACGUG
RNAcentral lists this ribosomal RNA (468 nucleotides) under uncultured bacterium. RNAcentral describes it as "partial 16S ribosomal RNA". It matches the Rfam family "Bacterial small subunit ribosomal RNA", at positions 28 to 507 of the family's 1533-position model. The record is from RNAcentral.